AGUUAUUUAUGACUCAAUUUGAGAAUCAGAAAGAUUGUUCAGUACGAAAGAGAAGUGUACCAGUUACUUGUUAAGAAAGAGAGGGUCAGAAUAAUAGUACAGUACAAAAGAGGAGUGCACCAGUUAAUUGUGCACAAAGUGAGAGUCAGACAGAUUGUAUAGUACGAAAGUGAAGUG
Molecule: long non-coding RNA, 177 nt
Organism: Amphimedon queenslandica
Lineage: Eukaryota; Metazoa; Porifera; Demospongiae; Haplosclerida; Niphatidae
Exons: 3
Source: RefSeq, a predicted model, not a curated record